AGAAGGGCACAUGGUGGAUGCCUCGAUACGCGAGCGGCGAUGAAGGACGUAGCAGCCUGCGAUAAGCCUCGGGGAGGUGGCAAGCAACCUUUGAUCCGGGGAUCUCCGAAUGGGGGAACCCCUCCGGCGCGCAUAACGUCGGAGAUCCUUGCCUGAAUUUAUAGGGCAAGGAAGCGCACCCGGUGAAGUGAAACAUCUCAGUAACCGGAGGAAAAGAAAAUAACAUAUUAUUCCCUUAGUAGCGGCGAGCGAAAAGGGAACAGCCUAAACUGUAGAGGUUCCCAUGCUUUAAUUCUCUUACUCCGCAAGGAGUAAGAGAUGAAGAGUGUGGACGGCUUACAAGGCCUUAUACUUAUACAGGGUUGUAAGACAAAUCUAUACCGGAGCUUGUAAAUCCGGGAGGAGCCUAUGAACAAGACUUCCCUAGUGGAAUCCCGUGGAAUACGGGAGCCAGAGUGGGUGAGAGCCCCGUACGCGAAAGGGGUUUUGUGCUCCUUAGAAUUGUUCUUAAGUACGUCGGGACCCGUGAAAUCCCGGCGGAACCUGGGCCGACUAUGGCCUAAGGCUAAAUACGCUCCGUAAUCGAUAGUGAACAAGUACCGUGAGGGAAUGGUGAAAAGCAGCCCGGGAGGGCGAUGAAAUAGUAUCUGAAACCAUGUGCUUACAAGGAGUCAACGCCCGCCGAAAUUUUCGUAAGGAAAUUUAGGUGGGUUAUGGCGUGCCUAUUGAAGAAUGAGCCAACGAGUUUGUCUGCGCUGCUUGUCGAAUCCCGAUCAAUCGGGAGAAGGCAUAGUGAAAGCGAGGCUUCAACAGCCGUUAUGGCACCGUAGACAAGACCCGAAGCCGGGUGAUCUAGUCAUGGACAGGGUGAACCACGUAGAAAUACGGGGGGAGGCCCGAACCCACCAGCCGUGCAAAACUGGGGGAUGAUCUGUGACUAGGGGUGAAAUUCCAAUCGAACUCGGGAAUAGCUGGUUCUCCUCGAAAUAGCUUAAGGGCUAGCCUCUCUAUAAACCGUCCGGGGGUAGAGCUACUGAAUGGUUCGGCAUGGCGCAAGCCUAGUCGAGCCAACCAAACUCCGAAUACCGGCCGGCAUGAUAGGGGGAGUCAGACUAUGGGGGCGAAGCUCCAUUGGUCACAAGGGGAAGAGCCCACGACUGCGAUAUAAGGUCCCUAAAUCCAAGCUAAGUGUAAAAGGGAGUGUAGUGACUUCGACAACUAGGAGGUUGGCUUAGAAGCAGCCAUCCUUUCAAGAUAGCGUAACAGCUCACUAGUCAAGUCGCUAUGCACCGAAAAUGUACCGGGGCUAAGCUUGGUACCGAAUGUGCAGACCUGUCAGUGCUUUGCACUGGCAGCGUGGUAGAGGAGCGUCCCGUAUGCCGUAAAGUCAGACCCGUGAGGGCUGGUGGAGCGUACGGGAGUGAGAAUGUUGGCAUAAGUAGCAGGAAGGAAGGUGAGAAUCCUUCCCACCGCAAGCCUAAGGGUUCCCCGACAACGAUGAUCGGUCGGGGGUGAGGCGGUCCUAAGGCGAGGCCGACAGGCGUAGCCGAUGGAAAAGCUGGUUAAUAUUCCAGCCCCUUGUUUAUAUUUGUAUGGUGCUGACGCAUCUUAGUGUGGGAUCCUGCUUUGGUUAUGUAGGUUGUUGUCUCGAUUUAUCGGGAUGACUGGAAACAAAGCCUUCGGGCAGCGUGAACUUCCGUAAUAAGGUGCCGGGAAAAGGUACCAUGCGUUAAGUAUAGGCAGGUCCGUACCGCAAACCGACACAGGUGGGCGAGCAUAAGCGUGCUCAAGGUGGACGAGAGAACCCUCGUUUAGGAACUCGGCAAUUCAGUGGCCGUAACUUUGGAAUAAGGCCUCCCCCGAUUUAUCGGGGGCGCAGUGAAUGACCUCAAGCGACUGUUUACCAAAAACACAAGUCCCUGCUUCAAGCCGCAAGGCGACGUAUAGGGGCUGAUGCCUGGCCAGUGUCAGAACGUUAAGGGGAGGGGUGAACACCGAUGCUUCGCAUCGGGAAUGACCAAUAACCAAUUUCCAAUUUCCAAACAAUAUCCAAUGAACAAAAUUCAAAUGACCAAAACUUGUUUUGAAUUUUGAAUUUGGAGUUUCGAAUUUGUUUGGGAUUUAGUGUUUGGGAUUUGGGAUUUCCGACGCGGGGCGUCGGCCGUAGCUUUGAACCGAAGCGCUGAUGAACGCCGGCGAUAACUAUGAGUGACGAUUGUAGUUAUCUCAAUAAAUCUAGCUAUAUGCGGGAACAUCUACUCAAGGUGCAAGUACUCGUCUCGAUGAGGGACAGUAAAAAGUUUGCAUCAGUUUUUUUGAGAACGGUAGACAAUCCGCAGGAAAGGCUCUUGAUAUGCAAGACAAUAUCCAAUGGUUGAAGCAAAUUUCACCUGCGAUAGGAUACUAUCUGGCGGGGUUUGCAGAUGGGGAAGGGAGUUUUAAUGUUUCACUUCGCCGUCGUGAUGAUCAUGCGAUGGGAUGGCAGGUGGUACUUACGUUCAACGUGUCACAGAAGGACAGCCGAAUCCUGGCGUACUUUAAAAGAUACCUCGGAUGCGGGAGACUCCAAGAACGACAGGACGGCGUGUACUACUAUGUGGUAUCAAAUCCACGUUCGAUUAUCGAGCGCAUCAUUCCAUUUUUUGAAAAGUAUCGUUUUCUCUCCUCAAGGAAGUUAUUUAAUUUUGCGAUUUUUAAACAGAUCGCAAUGUUGGUUGAAAAGAAUCAACACCUCACACAGGAAGGACUGAAUAAGAUUGUCCAGCUUCAUGAGAAAUUGAAUGAAGGACGGGGAAGGAAACGAAAGUAUAACGUGAGUGAUUAUCAACAAUCACUCCAAGAGAAUCCUCAGAGACUAUACGCUAGACCUUUGCCGCGCGCGAAGCGUAGCGAGGAUGAUAUAGUCCGAUCUCAUGGGUGACCAUGAGUUAACAUCACGAAUCGUCCUAAGGUUUUCUAA
This 2959-nucleotide ribosomal RNA is filed under the name Candidatus Uhrbacteria bacterium RIFCSPLOWO2_02_FULL_49_11. Its description in RNAcentral is "bacterial LSU rRNA". The stretch from base 5 to 2301 matches the Rfam family "Bacterial large subunit ribosomal RNA", at positions 15 to 2044 of the family's 2925-position model. Lineage: Bacteria; Candidatus Uhriibacteriota. The record is from RNAcentral.